This 431-nucleotide ribosomal RNA is filed under the name uncultured bacterium. RNAcentral's name for it is "bacterial SSU rRNA". It matches the Rfam family "Bacterial small subunit ribosomal RNA", at positions 355 to 776 of the family's 1533-position model. The record is from RNAcentral.
UCGAGGAUCUUUCGCAAUGGGCGCAAGCCUGACGAAGCGACGCUGUGUGGACGAUGAAGGCCUUCGGGUUGUAAAGUCCUUUCGCGUAAGAACAAGAGAGACUGUCUAAUAAGCAGUUAAUUUGAGGGUACUACGUAAAGAAGCACCGGCUAACUCCGUGCCAGCAGCUGCGGUAAUACGGAGGGUGCAAGCAUUAAUCGGAUUUACUGGGCGUAAAGGGCGCGUAGGCGGGUCUACAAGUCAAAUGUGAAAUUCCGGAGCUCAACUUCGGAGCGGCAUUUGAAACUGUAGGUCUAUAGAGGGAUGGCGGAGAAAAUGGAAUUCCACAUGUAGCGGUGAAAUGCGUAGAUAUGUGGAAGAACACCAGUGGCGAAAGCGGUUUUCUAGCUAUUACCUGACGCUGAGGCGCGAGAGCAUGGGGAGCAAACAGG